This 253-nucleotide unclassified non-coding RNA is filed under the name uncultured Alcanivoracaceae bacterium. RNAcentral describes it as "contains 16S-23S intergenic spacer region". It matches the Rfam family "Bacterial small subunit ribosomal RNA", at positions 524 to 776 of the family's 1533-position model. The record is from RNAcentral. Lineage: Bacteria; Pseudomonadati; Pseudomonadota; Gammaproteobacteria; Oceanospirillales; Alcanivoracaceae.
UACGAAAGGUGCAAGCGUUAAUCGGAAUUACUGGGCGUAAAGGGCGCGUAGGCGGCGUGCACAGUCGACUGUGAAAGCCCCGGGCUCAACCCGGGAAUUGCAUCCGAUACUGGCCCGCUAGAGUGCAGUAGAGGGAGGUAGAAUUCCAGGUGUAGCGGUGAAAUGCGUAGAGAUCUGGAGGAAUACCAGUGGCGAAGGCGGCCUCCUGGACUGACACUGACGCUGAGGCGCGAAAGCGUGGGUAGCAAACAGG